AUGCAUCGGUCGUCGAGCUACUACCUGUCAUCCUCUUCGUCGUCGUCGUCUUCUGCGGUGGCGGCGUCGUCGGUGCCUGGUGGGCCGAGCGGGAAUGCGGGGAUGGACGUGGACCAGCUGCCGGUGUACGACCCGCACUCGGACACGGCCAAGAAAGAGGCCCUCGACGCCUCCCGUGCCAACCUCGCCCACGCCCUUGUCCACCUCGUCCCCGUCGUCGUCCUCCUCUGCGGGCUCCUCCUCUGGUCGCUCUCCACCACCCCCGUCCCCCCUCCGCCGGUGGGCGUGAUUGUGCUAAAGAAGGAGAGACUAAUGGCGCUGAAGAGUGGGCCCGAGCACAGCUCGAACGGCCCUCGCAUGGUGGCUGCGAUGGAGGAUCCGGAUCCGGUAGGCAACACUGUUGGGAAAAGAAUAAAGGACGGAUUUAAGAAAUGA
Molecule: ribosomal RNA, 435 nt
Filed under: Triticum aestivum (bread wheat)
Lineage: Eukaryota; Viridiplantae; Streptophyta; Magnoliopsida; Poales; Poaceae
Description: partial small subunit ribosomal RNA
Source: RNAcentral